UAUUCACCAUGCAAAAUUUCAUCAAAAAACCACCACGCAGCAUCACACAUCACAAAAGACGAAAUCCCCAAGGUGAACGCCACUUCAACUUCUACACUGAGGAGAAGGCACUCAAGACAGAUAUCCGUUCAGGUGUCUGCAAGUGAUUCCAGACGUUUCAGCACCUGGGCAACAGUGCUGGACAGUGGAUUGCUGAAAGGGAAAACACCCAUUUGGCUACACACUGCAAGGCAACAGCAAACGUCAAUCACAAAUGAAGGUGAAGAUGAAAAAUCCUUUCCACACUACCCUAUCUGACAGUAAGAGCAUGUUCCUGGCUCAUUCAAUCCCCACUCUAGGGACUGGGCAUCUAAUUAAAUUAAUAAUCACCUGUAUCACCCUUUUACCGUAGGGACGUUUACAAACUUUCCUCUACCCCUACACACUGGGGCUGAAUAGUUAAAUCCCUCCACACUGAAAUAUUUAGCCACCUAGUGACAGCCCUUAGCAUCCAAGGACGACUGGACGCAACGGAUUGUCACCUAGCCUACCUGCUGCAUUGGCUGUUUGUGCCCGAGGGCUGUUUGUGAUUCUUUUCCUAUAAAAAACAAAAAAAAGACAUGCCUAUAAAACUUUGGAAAAUAAAAAAAAAUCAUUAAAUGUCAUUAAACAGAGUGAUUGAGAGAUGGUGGGAGUUUAUCUUUGUUCGUCGCCCUUCUGAAAUUUCGAAUGCGUGUUAAAACCAAGGUUAAAACAGACCACGGUACCAUGAUAACAGUAAAAUAAUUAUUCUUAAUAUUAUCAUCGUCAUUAUGAACUAAGAUGGUGCACACUUAAACCUAUUUAUUGUGACCCAAAUAAGAACCUUUCAAUAGUAUCCUAUAAGUAUCCAACAAGUUGAAUGAAAAAUUUGAUAAUUUAGAUUUCCAGAAUAUCAUCUUAAAAUGUCACACCAUAUAAUUAUUAAUCCAAUAUUUUCGACAGAAAAAAAACAGUAUAGCCUACACAUUUAAAACCAAUCAUCAAUUAGGAUCAUCACAAUGUGUUGGUUCUCAACUAUUUAAUACAAUGAAAAUAUAUAUGUA
Molecule: long non-coding RNA, 1064 nt
Organism: Daphnia pulex (common water flea)
Lineage: Eukaryota; Metazoa; Arthropoda; Branchiopoda; Diplostraca; Daphniidae
Exons: 2
Source: RefSeq, a predicted model, not a curated record